Molecule: ribosomal RNA, 562 nt
Filed under: Ruegeria sp. Rg294
Lineage: Bacteria; Pseudomonadati; Pseudomonadota; Alphaproteobacteria; Rhodobacterales; Roseobacteraceae
Description: bacterial SSU rRNA
Rfam family: Bacterial small subunit ribosomal RNA
Source: RNAcentral
AGUCGAGCGCACCUUCGGGUGAGCGGCGGACGGGUUAGUAACGCGUGGGAAUAUACCCUUUGGUACGGAAUAGCCUCUGGAAACGGAGAGUAAUACCGUAUGAGCCCUUCGGGGGAAAGAUUUAUCGCCAAAGGAUUAGCCCGCGUUAGAUUAGGUAGUUGGUGGGGUAAUGGCCUACCAAGCCUACGAUCUAUAGCUGGUUUUAGAGGAUGAUCAGCAACACUGGGACUGAGACACGGCCCAGACUCCUACGGGAGGCAGCAGUGGGGAAUCUUGGACAAUGGGGGCAACCCUGAUCCAGCCAUGCCGCGUGAGUGAUGAAGGCCUUAGGGUCGUAAAGCUCUUUCGCCUGUGAAGAUAAUGACGGUAGCAGGUAAAGAAACCCCGGCUAACUCCGUGCCAGCAGCCGCGGUAAUACGGAGGGGGUUAGCGUUGUUCGGAAUUACUGGGCGUAAAGCGCACGUAGGCGGACUGGAAAGUUGGGGGUGAAAUCCCAGGGCUCAACCCUGGAACUGCCUCCAAAACUAUCAGUCUAGAGUUCGAGAGAGGUGAGUGGAAUUCC